Molecule: ribosomal RNA, 468 nt
Filed under: uncultured bacterium
Lineage: Bacteria
Description: bacterial SSU rRNA
Rfam family: Bacterial small subunit ribosomal RNA
Source: RNAcentral
GAUGAACGCUGGCGGCGUGCUUAACACAUGCAAGUCGAACGAAGCACUUUAUUUGAUUUCCUUCGGGACUGAUUAUUUUGUGACUGAGUGGCGGACGGGUGAGUAACGCGUGGGUAACCUGCCUUGUACAGGGGGAUAACAGUUGGAAACGGCUGCUAAUACCGCAUAAGCGCACGGCAUCGCAUGAUGCAGUGUGAAAAACUCCGGUGGUAUAAGAUGGACCCGCGUUGGAUUAGCUAGUUGGUGAGGUAACGGCCCACCAAGGCGACGAUCCAUAGCCGACCUGAGAGGGUGACCGGCCACAUUGGGACUGAGACACGGCCCAAACUCCUACGGGAGGCAGCAGUGGGGAAUAUUGCACAAUGGGCGAAAGCCUGAUGCAGCGACGCCGCGUGAGCGAAGAAGUAUUUCGGUAUGUAAAGCUCUAUCAGCAGGGAAGAUAAUGACGGUACCUGACUAAGAAGCACC